RNAcentral lists this ribosomal RNA (253 nucleotides) under uncultured bacterium. RNAcentral describes it as "partial 16S ribosomal RNA". It matches the Rfam family "Bacterial small subunit ribosomal RNA", at positions 524 to 776 of the family's 1533-position model. The record is from RNAcentral.
UACGGAGGGUGCAAGCGUUAUCCGGAUUCCCUGGGUUUAAAGGGUGCUUAGGUGGGCAGGUAAGUCCGUGGUGAAAUCCUAUAGCUUAACUAUAGAACUGCCAUGGAUACUAUUUGUCUUGAAUGUCGUAGAGGUAAGCGGAAUAUGUCAUGUAGCGGUGAAAUGCUUAGAUAUGACAUAGAACACCAAUUGCGAAGGCACCUUAGUAUGCGAUGAGUGACACUGAGGCACGAAAGCGUGGGUAGCAAACAGG